UGUCAUGGUUAUUGACCUUCUUGGGCCAAGCUUAGAAGACUUGUUUAAUUAUUGCAAUCGGAAGUUUUCAUUGAAAACAGUUUUGAUGCUUGCGGAUCAAUUAGUAUGUAUGCCAGUUUUUGGAAAAGAGUUACUGGUGAAAUAACUGCUGUUCUUAUGCUUAUUCACAUUUUUGCGUAGAUAAACAGAGUUGAAUAUAUGCACUCACGUGGUUUUCUUCACCGUGAUAUAAAGCCUGACAACUUUUUAAUGGG
Molecule: unclassified non-coding RNA, 254 nt
Filed under: Hevea brasiliensis (rubber tree)
Lineage: Eukaryota; Viridiplantae; Streptophyta; Magnoliopsida; Malpighiales; Euphorbiaceae
Source: RNAcentral